Molecule: ribosomal RNA, 431 nt
Filed under: uncultured bacterium
Lineage: Bacteria
Description: bacterial SSU rRNA
Rfam family: Bacterial small subunit ribosomal RNA
Source: RNAcentral
AACGAACGCUGGCGGCAGGCCUAACACAUGCAAGUCGAGCGCGCCCUUCGGGGUGAGCGGCGGACGGGUGAGUAACGCGUGGGAACGUACCCUUUGCUACGGAAUAGCCUCGGGAAACUGGGAGUAAUACCGUAUGUGCCCUUCGGGGAAAGAUUUAUCGGCAAAGGAUCGGCCCGCGUUGGAUUAGGUAGUUGGUGGGGUAAUGGCCUACCAAGCCGACGAUCCAUAGCUGGUUUGAGAGGAUGAUCAGCCACACUGGGACUGAGACACGGCCCAGACUCCUACGGGAGGCAGCAGUGGGGAAUCUUAGACAAUGGGCGCAAGCCUGAUCUAGCCAUGCCGCGUGAGCGAUGAAGGCCUUAGGGUUGUAAAGCUCUUUCAGUGGGGAAGAUAAUGACUGUACCCACAGAAGAAGCCCGGCUAACUCCGUG